This 309-nucleotide unclassified non-coding RNA is filed under the name uncultured fungus. RNAcentral's name for it is "partial contains internal transcribed spacer 2 and large subunit ribosomal RNA". Lineage: Eukaryota; Fungi. The record is from RNAcentral.
AACGCACAUGGCACUUGCCACCUCGGUGGCAAGUAUACCUGUUUGAGAAUCGGUUCCAAUCCUGGCAUCGCCUUGAUGCCGACGUGGCUGCUCUCGAGCGAUCGAGUCGGCUCAAAUGGAGACGAGUGGGGCUGGCGAGACGUGCGUCUGCGCCGUGUGGUAAUGGACUAUGCGGUCCUCGAGCACGGAUGCAACGUGGGCGCGCGGCGAGCCGGCAUCAAAGCCCACACGAAGUGGUUGCACAACCCGUACGGAUGGAAGGCCGUGAUCAACGAUCUCAAAUCAGGCAAGGCUACCCGCUGAACUUAA